AUGUUUCGUCAGCGCUUGGCGAAGCCCUACCGGAAUUCCUCUACCACUACCACGCCAUCAUGUUGGUUUAGAUCUCAUCUACCUCCUAUCCCUCACAUGCUAGAUCAAGAAAGAGAUGAUGAGGACAUCAAUACCAUUGUUACACCCACAGCCCCUGCUGCUAUACAUACUGGACCAAUUACUAGAGCUCGCGCACGCCAUUUAAAUUACCAGGUACUUUUGUUUCUUGGUAAUGAUUCUAAUGUUCAUGAGAAUAUGAUGUUUCCUAAAUUGGAUACAUUUGUUUUGCUUACAAAUGAAGGGCCUAGCUUGGAGAAGGAUGAACAUUGGAGCAAGACCAAGCAUGGAGAUGAUGGCAUGCGCAACGGAGUUACAAGUGAUGAUUUCAGGACUUUGAAGCCACCAUAA
This 408-nucleotide ribosomal RNA is filed under the name Triticum aestivum (bread wheat). Its description in RNAcentral is "partial small subunit ribosomal RNA". The record is from RNAcentral. Lineage: Eukaryota; Viridiplantae; Streptophyta; Magnoliopsida; Poales; Poaceae.